RNAcentral lists this transfer RNA (80 nucleotides) under Shigella phage Sf25. RNAcentral's name for it is "tRNA-Leu". It matches the Rfam family "tRNA". From Rfam's summary of the family: Transfer RNA (tRNA) molecules are approximately 80 nucleotides in length. Their secondary structure includes four short double-helical elements and three loops (D, anti-codon, and T loops). Further hydrogen bonds mediate the characteristic L-shaped molecular structure. tRNAs have two regions of fundamental functional importance: the anti-codon, which is responsible for specific mRNA codon recognition, and the 3' end, to which the tRNAs corresponding amino acid is attached (by aminoacyl-tRNA synthetases). tRNAs cope with the degeneracy of the genetic code in two manners: having more than one tRNA (with a specific anti-codon) for a particular amino acid; and 'wobble' base-pairing, i.e. permitting non-standard base-pairing at the 3rd anti-codon position. Lineage: Duplodnaviria; Heunggongvirae; Uroviricota; Caudoviricetes; Pantevenvirales; Straboviridae. The record is from RNAcentral.
GGGAAUUAGCCAAGUUGGCACAGCACUUAAAAUGCUGCGGAAUGAUUUCCUUGUGGGUUCGAGUCCCACUUCUCGCACCA